Molecule: transfer RNA, 72 nt
Filed under: Aedes aegypti (yellow fever mosquito)
Lineage: Eukaryota; Metazoa; Arthropoda; Insecta; Diptera; Culicidae
Rfam family: tRNA
About the family: Transfer RNA (tRNA) molecules are approximately 80 nucleotides in length. Their secondary structure includes four short double-helical elements and three loops (D, anti-codon, and T loops).
Source: Rfam by way of RNAcentral
GGCUUGGUGGCUUAGUUGGUAAAGCGCUCGUCUAGCAUACAAGAGUCCUGGGUUCAAAUCCCAGCAGAGCAC